This 522-nucleotide ribosomal RNA is filed under the name uncultured Holospora sp. RNAcentral's name for it is "bacterial SSU rRNA". It matches the Rfam family "Bacterial small subunit ribosomal RNA", at positions 8 to 489 of the family's 1533-position model. The record is from RNAcentral. Lineage: Bacteria; Pseudomonadati; Pseudomonadota; Alphaproteobacteria; Holosporales; Holosporaceae.
AGAGUUUGAUCAUGGCUCAGAACGAACGCUGGCGGCAUGCUUAACACAUGCAAGUUGAACGCAGAAUAGAGCUUCGGCUCUAUUGCUGAGUAGCAAACGGGUGAGUAACGCGUGGGAAUCUACCUUUUUGUGGGGGAUAACUAAGGGAAACUUUAGCUAAUACCGCAUAAGCUCUACGGAGGAAAGGCUCUAUUAGAAUUCAGGAAUCACAAGAUAAGAAAUGGUAACACAUUUAAAGUUUAUCUCGUGGUUUCUGAAUUCUAGAGUCGCAAAAAGAGGAGCCCGCGUCAGAUUAGGUAGUUGGUGGGGUAAAAGCCUACCAAGCCAAUGAUCUGUAGCUGGUCUGAGAGGAUGAUCAGCCACACUGGGACUGAGACACGGCCCAGACUCCUACGGGAGGCAGCAGUGGGGAAUAUUGGACAAUGGGGGAAACCCUGAUCCAGCAAUGCCGCGUGAAUGAAGAAGGCCUUAGGGUUGUAAAGUUCUUUCACCUGUGAAGAUAAUGACGGUAGCAGAGAAGAG